CUUCUACAUUCCCCGUAGGCCCAUACAAUAUUGCUUUCUUUAGCAAGACAACAACCAUCUUCAAAAAUUAGAAUUAAAUUUUGUGUAGUUCAAACCACUGUUUCAUCUCCACCAGCAAAUCACCACAAGACACACCUCUUUUUUCCACCCACAUUCUGUGUAAUUCUCUCAACGAGCUCUCAUCUCAAUCGCUUGCUGCUCUCAAACUGGAUACCCUAAUGGGUGUGAUUAUUCGAUUCAACAUGUGGAAAAGAAAAAUUUAAAAGAAAAAGAUUUCAAGUGCUUUAGAGGAAAAAUUGAUGCAAAAACUGGAAGAAAAAACCUUGAAGAAAAAAUGAAAGAAUUGGAAAGCCCGCUUAACAUGCAAGACGUGCCUUGCGCGCAUUCUCGCUCAGCGUGCAACACACGCUUAGCGCGAAAAAGACCCAUGAAACACACGCUUAGUGCGAAAGCUUACGCUAAGCCUGAAGUCAGGGUGAAAAUUAAGCUACCUAGUGCCUAUAUAAGGAGGAGGAAGCAGAAGAAAAAGACACAAUCUCACAACCCACACACGGGUAUAUCCCUCAGGGGAAACCCUCUCUUUAGCCAUUCCCCUUUUUCUUGUUAUUAGUCAUCUAUCACCUUCGUCCAUUAACCCCUAAAGUGUAAAGUCUCUCAUGGUUAUGAGAGGCUAAACUCCUUUUGUUGGAAGCCUGGAGGCCAAACUCUUGUAAUAUAAUUCUUUCUUAUUAUCUGUUUAAUGCAAUUCUGUUUCUAUUACUUCUCUAUACUUUUCUACUAUUAUGGUCUGAUCACCCAUAUACUGUUUAGAGGGUAAUGUAUUGAAAAAUGGUUAUUUUCUAAAGGACUGGGGAAGGGUAUCUUAAUAAAUUUAUUGUUAGAAAUAGAUUGACAUUUAUUUUGCCCACGAAUUUUUGCAUCUCUUACCUUAAUGCCGUUUGCUAUUUUAUCUUUGCAAAGAAAUUUGGGAAAAAGGAUAAAUAAACUAGGCCCUUCGUGCAGGAAACCAAAGAUAAGGUAAUUUAGUUGAUGUGGGAAGAAACAGGGAUUUCAUAAAAUAUAGAAAAUCAAUUACAUUAUAUUAUAAGUAGUUUUGACAUAUUAGACCCCAACAUCAUUGCAUUCUGAUUCUAUCUUCUCACAUUCAAACCGUUGUUUAUUUUUCCUGUUAUCUUUUUAUUUUCCUUAAUUUCAAAUUUCACAUUUAUAAUUC
Long non-coding RNA from Glycine soja, 1213 nucleotides. RefSeq lists it as uncharacterized. The transcript has 3 exons. The record is from RefSeq and is a predicted model, not a curated record. Lineage: Eukaryota; Viridiplantae; Streptophyta; Magnoliopsida; Fabales; Fabaceae.